Molecule: non-coding RNA, 145 nt
Organism: Gossypium raimondii (Peruvian cotton)
Lineage: Eukaryota; Viridiplantae; Streptophyta; Magnoliopsida; Malvales; Malvaceae
Source: Rfam
AGUUAAAAAUUCCAUCCAUUUCAACAGUUAAAAACUUAUGUAGCUAACGGAAUAAUCAAACAGUUACACAUGACGUGCCAUAUGUACCUCAUGCUGACAUACAAGAACUAGUUUUUAACGAUAGCAAUGCAUGAAUUUUUUAAUA